GCCGAAGUGGCGGAAUGGCAGACGCAUGGGACUUAAAAUCCCCCGGUAGCGAUACCGUGCCGGUUCGAGUCCGGCCUUCGGCACCA
This 86-nucleotide transfer RNA is filed under the name Clostridiales bacterium. RNAcentral's name for it is "tRNA-Leu". It matches the Rfam family "tRNA". From Rfam's summary of the family: Transfer RNA (tRNA) molecules are approximately 80 nucleotides in length. Their secondary structure includes four short double-helical elements and three loops (D, anti-codon, and T loops). Lineage: Bacteria; Bacillati; Bacillota; Clostridia; Eubacteriales. RNAcentral also lists the same sequence under 3 other names. The record is from RNAcentral.